RNAcentral lists this ribosomal RNA (757 nucleotides) under uncultured bacterium. RNAcentral's name for it is "bacterial SSU rRNA". It matches the Rfam family "Bacterial small subunit ribosomal RNA", at positions 8 to 796 of the family's 1533-position model. The record is from RNAcentral.
AGAGUUUGAUCAUGGCUCAGAAUCAACGCUGGCGGCGUGCCUAACACAUGCAAGUCGCACGAGAAAGGGUAGCAAUACCUGAGUACAGUGGCGCACGGGUGAGUAACACGUGAAUUAUCUACCUUCGAGUGGGGAAUAACUGGGAGAAAUCUCAGCUAAUACCGCAUAACACUUACGAGUCAAAGCAGCAAUGCGCUUGAAGAGGAGUUCGCGGCAGAUUAGUUAGUUGGCGGGGUAAUGGCCCACCAAGACGAUGAUCUGUAUCCGGCCUGAGAGGGCGCACGGACACACUGGAACUGAAACACGGUCCAGACUCCUACGGGAGGCAGCAGUGGGGAAUUUUGCGCAAUGGGGGAAACCCUGACGCAGCAACGCCGCGUGGAGGAUGAAAUCCCUUGGGAUGUAAACUCCUUUCGAUCGGGACGAUUAUGACGGUACCGGAAGAAGAAGCCCCGGCUAACUUCGUGCCAGCAGCCGCGGUAAUACGAGGGGGGCAAGCGUUGUUCGGAAUUAUUGGGCGUAAAGGGCGCGUAGGCGGUUUGACAAGUCUGAUGUGAAAUCUCUGGGCUCAACCCCAGAGUCUGCAUUAGAAACUGUCGGGCUUGAGUAUGGGAGAGGUGAGUGGAAUUUCCGGUGUAGCGGUGAAAUGCGUAGAUAUCGGAAGGAACACCUGUGGCGAAAGCGGCUCACUGGACCAUAACUGACGCUGAGGCGCGAAAGCUAGGGGAGCAAACAGGAUUAGAUACCCUAGUAGUCC